GGCCGAGUAGUUCAACUGGAUAGAAUUUCUGACUACGGAUCAGACGGUUGAGGGUUCGAAUCCUUCCUCGGUCA
This 74-nucleotide transfer RNA is filed under the name Bacteroidota bacterium. RNAcentral describes it as "Bacteroidetes bacterium tRNA-Arg". It matches the Rfam family "tRNA". Rfam says of the family: Transfer RNA (tRNA) molecules are approximately 80 nucleotides in length. Their secondary structure includes four short double-helical elements and three loops (D, anti-codon, and T loops). Further hydrogen bonds mediate the characteristic L-shaped molecular structure. tRNAs have two regions of fundamental functional importance: the anti-codon, which is responsible for specific mRNA codon recognition, and the 3' end, to which the tRNAs corresponding amino acid is attached (by aminoacyl-tRNA synthetases). tRNAs cope with the degeneracy of the genetic code in two manners: having more than one tRNA (with a specific anti-codon) for a particular amino acid; and 'wobble' base-pairing, i.e. permitting non-standard base-pairing at the 3rd anti-codon position. The record is from RNAcentral. RNAcentral also lists the same sequence under 1 other name. Lineage: Bacteria; Pseudomonadati; Bacteroidota.